Long non-coding RNA from Triticum aestivum (bread wheat), 2537 nucleotides. RefSeq lists it as uncharacterized. The transcript has 4 exons. NCBI's taxonomy places the organism in Eukaryota, Viridiplantae, Streptophyta, Magnoliopsida, Poales, Poaceae. The record is from RefSeq and is a predicted model, not a curated record.
CCCUAGCCCUGUUCCCCUGGAUCCACAUUGCAGCACCCCUCUCCUUCUCCAUCCUCUCCCGUCAGUCGCCGCCGCCGCCAUAUUCCACCUCCAACGUCUUCGUCCGAUGCCGAGGAGCUGCUCACCCCACAACCCCUUCUCCACCCACGACCAAGGGUUGGGGAGGCGGGGUCUUCUUGCUGGGGUGAAGGAGUAGGGGAGGUCCGGGAGUCAGGUGGUAGGGGAGUAGUGAGGGCGUGGGGUUUAAGGAGCAGUAGGGGAAGUUUGGUGGGGCUCUCAUCUCAUCUCUAAUCGCGACUCAUGUGGCCUCCAGGCCAGCAUCGGCUCCACCCCGCUCUUCCCCGUUUGAACAACGGUGAGUCCAAGAAACAAGGAGGAGGCACCACCGGAUGGGGGAGGAGAUGGCGCCUAGGGAGAGGGGUAGCGGCGGCUCCUCUGCCUACCAUCGACCUUGGGGCUAAAAUGGCGACGGUGGAAGGGAGCAUGGGAGCGAUGACCGGAUGCCAGGAGCUAAACGAGGUGGGCCAAGGAAGAGAGUGUUGCGUGGUUUGUUUUCAUGUAGCUUUCCUCUCUUGUUUGAUUUGAUUCUGUUGGCAAAACAAUGACAGAUUUCUCCAUUAGCUUAUCUGAUUUGGGGCUGAUUUUCCUCUUGCGAUUCUUGUUCAUGGCCUUGAUGUGGGAGAUUGCAAAAAAUGAAGCGAAUUAAGAGUGAAAAAAUAGCAGGAGCAACACCUAGGCUGUAGAAUUAAUGGUUGAACAAAAUCUAUGGUUGAUAUGCAGUUUAGUAAUGGCUAAUAUGAAAUCCUCUAUUACUACUUAUGGAUUUUUCAGUACUGUCUAUAUUGUAACUUUGAUGUGGAUUUAUUAUUUCUUUUACUAAUUGGUUAUCUAAGCAAAGUAGGUGUACAUGGACGAACAAGGAGCAUCCCAGCCACUGGUACCCUACUUUGUUUUAUGAAUUUUUGGGUCUUUGAGUUGAUUUGGUUGUGUGGUUGUGCUUGCGAUCCAGGUGGGUUGAGUUGCGGUUUGGUUGGAGAUGUUGGUGUUGUUUGAGACGCCCACUGGGUUCGCCAUUUUCAAGGUUCUGAAUGAGGGCAAGCUCGACAAGAUCGAGGGUCUAUGGAAGGAGUUCACCACGUCAGAACUUGGCGAGAAAGGCUCAAAGUUCAGCUCCAAGGAAUAAGCAGGUUAUAGAAUGUAGACAAGUGCUGCAAUGAACAUAUGCGUAUGGAUAUUAUCUUGAUGAUAAAGAAGGGCCACAAGAUGAUGCAAAUGAACAUGUUUGCUGCAGGUGACCAGGUCCAUAGGAGAGAUGCUUACAUUUUGUAUGGAUGUAUAUAGUUGCGCUAUAUUGGUGUGUAUGGAAGCUACAGUACCUUGCCAGUCCUUGGUGAAGGUAGUUUGAACCUUUGCCCAGUUCCCUUCUAUGUGCGUUUGAAUUUUUUGAUAGGUGAAAAACCCUUUUGUAACUUUAAUGCUCUAAUUGGAUCGGUCAAACAUGAGCAUAAAUAUAAUGAUAAGGUGCACACAAAUUGAAGUCUUAGAUUAAUGGUCUGAAUAUAACUAAGCAAUAGUCCUACUAGGAUGUUGUUUUAAGUACUUACGAGACAAUAUCAGAGGGAUGCAAUGGCUAAAAUAUGUAUGGUUUGUGAGCUUGGAGCAAGAACUGUGAUGGUCAUCUUUCAUGUACCUUCAUAAUAUUAUUAAAUGCUCAAAUUGUUGCAAAAUAUCAUGGUUAGCCUAUUGAUGUUGCAGUGCAUAAUAUGAUUAUUAUUGAAAAGGAUCAUCAGAACAUCCCAUAUGGCUUACUAUAUAUGUUCACUUGCAUCUUAGCAGCAACAUGUGAUUAAGCUCAUACAAGAUGAAAUUUGUUAUUUGUGGAUGCAUGCCUAGGCAAUCAUAUGAUUGAUGCAUUCUAACCUAACCUAUAAGGAGGCUAGCCAACUUGCCUCCAUGGAGCUCCCCAGAUUGGCCCCUUUCUGGGUGUUCUAUCACGGUGAAUUUCCCACCUCUUGUCCCCCAGCCGUUAGAUAUUGAUCGUAUGUUUUACCUUGUUUUUUAGACAUGUAUGACCAGUGGACCAGUUCAUUGGUGGGGCCAGUGUUUAUUUAUUAAGUCACCAGACAUUGAGAUCUGGAACAUUGCAGAGCAAUAAUUGAAGGAAGUAUUAGAUGAGUUUGGGAAGACAUGGUUGUGUAUGUAGUAUUUUCACCAUGAGGUUACCAUUGCUCGGCUCCUGACAGUAUGAUGCCUCAUUUAGAUUUUCUUAUUCCAGUGUGUUUGUAAUGUACUCGGAAAAUUAGUUUGCUUUCUUUUUGCUCCCUUGAGAAUGCAUCCUGAAUUAGUAUGAUAGCAGUCAAGCAAAAAUGGCUUACUGUUGAUACAAAUAUAACUUCGAUUACUCCUACUUUGCUGUUUUAUUUUUUCUGGACUUUAUAUAGAAUUUAUCCUUUUCAGUUGAUGCGCGCUGAAUGAAAUAUUAUAUCUGAGGGAACAUGAAACUUGCAAGUCAUGCUAUGUUUUAGUGCCAUGGAGUU